Molecule: ribosomal RNA, 309 nt
Filed under: Staphylococcus epidermidis NIH05001
Lineage: Bacteria; Bacillati; Bacillota; Bacilli; Caryophanales; Staphylococcaceae
Description: bacterial SSU rRNA
Rfam family: Bacterial small subunit ribosomal RNA
Source: RNAcentral
UUUUUAUGGAGAGUUUGAUCCUGGCUCAGGAUGAACGCUGGCGGCGUGCCUAAUACAUGCAAGUCGAGCGAACAGACGAGGAGCUUGCUCCUCUGACGUUAGCGGCGGACGGGUGAGUAACACGUGGAUAACCUACCUAUAAGACUGGGAUAACUUCGGGAAACCGGAGCUAAUACCGGAUAAUAUAUUGAACCGCAUGGUUCAAUAGUGAAAGUCGGUUUUGCUGUCACUUAUAGAUGGAUCCGCGCCGCAUUAGCUAGUUGGUAAGGUAACGGCUUACCAAGGCAACGAUGCGUAGCCGACCUGAGA